UACGUAGGUCCCGAGCGUUGUCCGGAUUUAUUGGGCGUAAAGCGAGCGCAGGUGGUUUAAUAAGUCUGAUGUAAAAGGCAGUGGCUCAACCAUUGUGUGCAUUGGAAACUGUUAGACUUGAGUGUAGUAGAGGAGAGUGGAAUUCCAUGUGUAGCGGUGAAAUGCGUAGAUAUAUGGAGGAACACCGGUGGCGAAAGCGGCUCUCUGGACUGUAACUGACACUGAGGCUCGAAAGCGUGGGUAGCAAACAGG
This 252-nucleotide ribosomal RNA is filed under the name uncultured microorganism. RNAcentral's name for it is "partial 16S ribosomal RNA". It matches the Rfam family "Bacterial small subunit ribosomal RNA", at positions 524 to 776 of the family's 1533-position model. The record is from RNAcentral.